GAUGAACGCUGGCGGCGUGCUUAACACAUGCAAGUCGAACGAAGCGCUUAAACGGAUUUCUUCGGAAUGAAGUUUUUGCGACUGAGUGGCGGACGGGUGAGUAACGCGUGGGUAACCUGCCUCAUACAGGGGGAUAACCGUUAGAAAUGACUGCUAAUACCGCAUAAGCGCACAGUGCUGCAUGGCACAGUGUGAAAAACUCCGGUGGUAUGAGAUGGACCCGCGUCUGAUUAGCUAGUUGGUGGGGUGAUGGCCUACCAAGGCGUCGACGGGUAGCCGGCCUGAGAGGGUGACCGGCCACAUUGGGACUGAGAUACGGCCCAG
Molecule: ribosomal RNA, 324 nt
Filed under: uncultured bacterium
Lineage: Bacteria
Description: bacterial SSU rRNA
Rfam family: Bacterial small subunit ribosomal RNA
Source: RNAcentral